Molecule: ribosomal RNA, 500 nt
Filed under: uncultured bacterium
Lineage: Bacteria
Description: partial 16S ribosomal RNA
Rfam family: Bacterial small subunit ribosomal RNA
Source: RNAcentral
AUUGAACGCUGGCGGCAGGCCUAACACAUGCAAGUCGGGCGGAUGAGAGGAGCUUGCUUCUUGAUUCAGCGACGGACGGGUGAGUAAUGCCUAGGAAUCUGCCUGGUAGUGGGGGACAACGUUUCGAAAGGAACGCUAAUACCGCAUACGUCCUACGGGCGAAAGCAGGGGACCUUCGGGCCUUGCGCUAUCAGAUGAGCCUAGGUCGGAUUAGCUAGUUGGUGAGGUAAUGGCUCACCAAGGCGACGAUCCGUAACUGGUCUGAGAGGAUGAUCAGUCACACUGGAACUGAGACACGGUCCAGACUCCUACGGGAGGCAGCAGUGGGGAAUAUUGGACAAUGGGCGAAAGCCUGAUCCAGCCAUGCCGCGUGUGUGAAGAAGGUCUUCGGAUUGUAAAGCACUUUAAGUUGGGAGGAAGGGUUGUACGUUAAUACCGCGCAAUUCUGACGUUACCGACAGAAUAAGCACCGGCUAACUCUGUGCCAGCCGCCGCCGUAA